UUAGGUGUCUAAAUGUGAAAGCUUCUAUGCCCUGGUGAUUCUGGGUUUGAUGAUUUCUUUGUCCCUGUUGUAUUUGUCAAGUUUGUGCAUAAAAUUCCUAUUCUAGAUGGGGCUCUUGCCAUGGUGAGUUACAGUGCUGCCAACUUAAUCGUAAGCUGGAUAGAUCACCGUAGUGGAGAUAAAGCUGAUAAAUUUCUUAUUCUUGCGUGCCUAUGUUACAUCAAGUCAUCAAUAAUAAUGAAAAAGAACAAUUUCAUUGGGAAAUACAGUGUGGUAAUAAGUGCUGUUGACAUAAAUUCAUCUCUUGUAUAACCUUGGUUCCACCAGGUGAGUGGAGGGCUUCCAUAAUUCUCAGCGUUGAGACAUUACUAGGAUACUGAUAAAUGUUACCUUAAUAUGUGAGUGAACACAAUAUUUGAUUAACUUCAGUCAAUAAUGAGCUCCGUGCCACUGUCUCCAUUGGAAAAAAGAAGUGCUUGAGGAUUAACACUCUGUUACUCCACUGUCCACUAUUUUCUCUCCAAACUUGCACCACUGAACAGCGCCUACUAGAAUAUGCAUCUAAGGUGUAGUUUGUGGUUUAUCAUUUGCUAAUAUGCAAUGUAUGACCUCAAAGGAUGCUCCUGACCUUUGCAAUUGAUGGCAUAUGAUUGAUGUUUUUUUUAUAGCUGGUUUGUCCAGUUCUUUGUGUUGUAGUGUUUUGUUCAAAAUUUGACAAAUAUACUUCUUAAUAACGCUUAGCUGAAGUUUCAUCAAGGUGUCUUUUUUUGGUUGAGAACUGAGAACUUGAUUUGUCAGUGUUUCCAACCAUUCUAACACUUGUAGGCUUUCAGAUCUCCAGGCUGCUUGUUAUAUUAUUUCCAAGGUGAUUCUUGGAUAUGCUAUUAAUUUAAGUUCUCUCAGUAAAAUUAUGAAUCUGCAAGGUCCAGAAAAAUAGCAGAUCCCAUAUUACCAUCAUAUGAAAACUCCAUGCUUGACACAGUAUUUUUUUUUUUUUUGUAUUUUAAAGUUCUUGAUUCUUGAAAAAGAUAAUUGUUUCCUAUGGAAUACAAUAGUAUCAAGAUGCUAGUCAUGAUACAAUUUGUUGAUAAUUUUCUUUCCAAGUCUGGACACACAUUUUUAUAUGUAGCAGCGUUCAGUUUCUGGUCGUAAUUCAUCGUACCAGUUCUGUAUUCGAUCUGUUUUCUCUCCACCUGCCUGUAUUCUUGUUCUGUUGCAUAAGUUCCUUUUACAACCUUGUACCUUCGCACAGACAAGCAACAGACCUUGUUCCCCUCCACAAAACAUGCCGAUGUGGGUUUAGGUGAUAGGGUGGUAAUGCUGUAAAAGUUAGCAAAAUUCAUCUGGGCAUUCCCUCCCAGUUUUUAGCAACAAUGACUCGUCAUCCUGAUUAUGUGGACAUAUAUGGCCACCGACUUGUUGCUAAAACUGGGAGGUAGUGACAAGGACAAUGGCAGUUGAGACAUCCAGGACAUUGCAAUGGGGAUGUCAUUACCAAGGCAGGUAACAUACUAACAGCAGGGUGACAGUUCACUCUGUUGCGGGAAGAGCGUGGCAUUGGCAGCCAUCCUGACAGUUACGGAAGCCACACGGCUGGUGGCUGAGGUGGAAUAUAGAGAUCACUGAGGGUGCUAAAGAAUCAGUUAUGAGGAAUAUAUUGCGGUAAGCUUAAUUCAAUUCUUGCUUUUUUGAGGAAUUUACUAGGAGGAAAGUUUCUAUAUGAAGGUUUGAAACAUUCAUUAAUUCAUAAAUGGUCCUGGAACAUUUAAUUCAGCAAGUGAGCAUUUAAGACAUAUACUAGAAACUGUGUAACAACUGACAUCAUGAAUAAUCACAGAGGAACCACCCAUAAGUAUUUUAUUAUAGAGUUGUUGAUCUAUCUCUUCAGUGCUCUGCAGGAGAAGAAGAUACUGAAUAAUUUACUUUUCUGUGCAAGUAGUUUUCUAGGCUAACGCUCGCAACCAGUGGCUGUCGUUUUAAGAGAACUUUAUUUAUAGCACUGUUUUGUUUGGUCUUGGCUGAAUCUACUCUUUUGCCUCUUCUCCACAAUCUAGAAUUGAGAGUUUAGACCCUUCAUGCCUCUUCUCCACAAUCUAGCAGGAGAGUUUACAACCCUUCUUCUGUAGUUUUGGUGGAUAUUUGUCAAGAAGUCAAAGUCUCAUGUGUGGUAGGAAUUUUUUCUUUCCUUAGCUUGUUUAUUUAGAGAUUUCAACUUUCUGAGGUUGUUUUCCAUUUUUCUUCCAAUUUUAUAAUUCUCUUAUUUCCAGAAAAAUCUUUAAAGGCAUAAUGCUCAUACCUUGCUGUUUGUAUGCUCAAGUGUUGGGUGGGUUUAUGUUGCCCCCUUAGGUAGCAUGAUCAUUUGGGUUUAUGUGCUUUUCCAUCGAUCAGGGAUGCUUCUUUCCUUGCUUUACUAAUUUUUCACUGUAUCAAUAAAUGUUGGGUUAAUGUUAUGAAAAAUGUUUCAGUUUUCAUCUGAUGCAGGUGCAGUGUUUUAAUGUCUGUGCAUAAUGCUUUUCUCUUCUCAAUUGCAGCUCUUCCAUAUGUGCAUCUCACAGAACUAUUUUAAAUGCAGCAUGCUCCUCGCAACCAAAUGGGAGUAAUAUAUCCUCUUAUGUUUCUUUUCCUGCUAUUGCUUCAUGGAACUAGUGCUGCUUUGAAGGAUCCAGUACAGAAAUGGCAGACUCUAAGUGGUGCCCCUCCAUUAGUCAUAGCUCGUGGUGGGUACUCUGGGCUGUUCCCUGAUUCAAGCCAAUUCGGGUACCAGUUUGCCCUGUCGAAUAGUCUGCCUGAAGUUGUUCUUUUCUGUGAUUUACAACUUUCAAGUGACAACGUUGGAUUCUGCAAGACUGGCUUGGCACUUGAUGACUCAACGCUAAUAGCUAAGGUCUUCCCUAAGAAUGACAAGACAUACAAAGUGAAUGGAGACGGCCUGCACGGAUGGUUUUCAGUCGACUUCACUUCAAAUCAGCUAAUGGACAAUGUCACAUUGAUCCAGAAUGUUCUGUCCCGCCCAAGCAUAUUUGAUGGCACCAUGGGAAUUAGCCUUAUUGAUGAUGUCGUAGAACUCCACCCUCCUCAACUUUGGAUUAAUAUACAGUAUGGACAGUUCUUCCUAGAUCACAAAUUAAAUAUCGAAGAGUACAUAUCAUCUAAAGCAAAAGAAUUUGGUGUCAAUUAUGUCUCCUCACCUGAAGUUGGAUUCUUGAAAAGCCUUAGUGGGAAGCUUGGGAAAAGCAAUGUGAAGCUUGUUUUUCGGUUUCUCGAUCAACAACUCAUUGAGCCUUCCACAAAACAACCUUAUGGAACCAUUCUGAAGGACUUAAAAUCUGUCAAGGCUUUUGCCUCAGGAAUUCUCGUCCCCAAGACUUACAUUUGGCCUGUGAACAAGGAUCAGUACUUGCAGCCAGCUACUACUUUGGUGAAAGAUGCUCAUGGCCUAGACUUGGAGGUUUAUGCAUUUAAGUUUGGCAAUGAUUUCAUUUCAAGUUACAACUACAGCUAUGAUCCUAGUGCUGAGUACUUGCAGUUUAUUGAUAGUUCUGACUUCUCUGUUGAUGGUGUCCUCACUGACUUCCCAUCCACAGCUUCAGCAGCCAUUGCUUGCUUAGCACAUACUAAGGACAGCUCUCUUCCUCCUCCUGGAAAUGAUACCAGACCACUGAUCAUCACCCACAAUGGUGCGUGUGGCUUAUUCCCUGGCUGCACCGACCUUGCAUACCAGCAAGCAGUGGAAGACGGUGCAGAUAUAAUUGACUGUUCAGUACAGAUGUCAAAGGAUGCAGUGCCCUUUUGCUUGGACUCCCCGGAUCUUACAAAAGGGACGACAGCAGCAACAGUGUUCUCGACAAAAGCUGCUACUGUAAAUGAAAUACAGAAUGGGUCUGGCAUCUUCGCAUUUGAUCUUCUAUCGAGUGAGAUCCAAACUCUAAAGCCUGAUCUUGUUGGCCCAUACAAUCAAGAAGGACUGAAAAGAAAUCCAGCAGCAAAGAACAGUGGGAAACUUAUGACUUUAGUUGAUUUCCUGGCCUUCUCAAAGAGCAACAACAUCUCUGGUGUACUAGUCGAUGUUCGUAAUGCCCCAUACCUUGCAACCAGAGGCAUUGACAUUGUGGAUGCUGUCUCCAGCGCACUUAUCAAUGCCAGCUAUGACAAAGAGACCAGGCAGCAGGUGCUCAUCGCAUCGGACGAUUCCGCCGUGCUCAGAGCAUUCAAGAAGUUCCCAGCAUUCAAGCGCGUCCUCCAGAUCGGCAACGCAAUCAGCGAUGUGUCCAAGGCAUCCGUGGAGGAGAUGGCCAAGUUCGCGAGCGCUGUGUCCAUCACUCGGGGCUCAGUUGUCCAGGCGCAGGGAUCAUUCCUCUUGCGGUUCACUGAUGUGAUCGACAAGAUGCAUGCCGCAAACCUAUCGGUGUAUGUCGGGCUGCUCAGGAACGAGUUCAUGAACCUUGGGUUCGACUUCUGGGCUAACCCAAUGGUUGAGAUCGUGACGUACUCAUCUCUGAUGGCUGAUGGGAUUGUGACCGAAUUCCCUGCAACGGCAGCAGAGUACUUCAGGAGCCCAUGCAGUGACUUCAGUAAGAACCUGACCUACACGAUCAUGCCUGCAAAGCCUGGGUCUUUGCUCAAACUGACAGACCCCAGUGCACUGCCUCCGGCGCAGGGGCCAGCGCCAGUGCUGAAACCUGCCGAUGUUGUGGACCCACCGCUGCCACCAGUGACCAUCAGUACCCCUGGAGCUUCAGCAUCUUCGAAUGGUUCCAGCACUACCAGUGGUGCAAGGGUGUCCACUGCAAGCUCUGGUCUUUGCUUGUUGGCAAUCGGACUUUCUGUGUUAUUGGUAACGAGCUCUAAGUAAUCUGAAGCCUGGGUGCUGGAACUGCAUGCGGUUUGUUCAGCAUUUUGACCCUUCCCAUCAGGGCUGAUUUAUACAGCAAGAAAAUGUACUUUAAGCAGGGUGAAUUAACAGUAGCGGUGCAACUUGCCUGUAUGUUCUGGUCCUAGGAUGUAAUGUGUGGCGCCAGGGGGUGCCUUCUGUACAUAAACUUCUUUACCAUUACUUAAUUGAGCAGCAGAGCUCCUACCUUUUAUUUCAAAAAAAAAAGUUCCCAUUUCACCCCGUUGUUUGUCAUCCGUUAUUUACAGUAGUGUCUUUGGGCACUUCUAGACUAUGAUUUCUUUUAAAUUUUAGGGCACUUGGCUGCAACAUGAAGUAAUUUGACAGGCAUGUCAUUUGAGAAUAUGACAAUUAUAGUUCAGCAUUAUGCUAUCCUUACUGAAGCAGUACACUUGGAGCUGACCAUUUCUGUCGCAUUACGUGUGACAUGUUCGUGUGAGAGCACUUGAAAGGCGGACUUUCUUUGUGAAAAACUUAUCAAAGGCCAAUCUGUAAUGUUGGCUACAUCCUGCACAAGGAUGUUGCUCUUCGGCAAUUAUUGCAGCCAUUGGCUCUUCCUGCAGGAGGAAAUGGCAUUGCUAACAUAUUGAGAUGAUACUUUCUGCUUGCACUUCUUGCAUAUUGUUAACAAAUUUACUAUUCUUCAUAUGGCUAUAACAGUAUUCUAUAAACUACUGAAGUACUUUUUCUUACUUUU
Molecule: RNA transcript, 5588 nt
Organism: Sorghum bicolor (sorghum)
Lineage: Eukaryota; Viridiplantae; Streptophyta; Magnoliopsida; Poales; Poaceae
Gene name: glycerophosphodiester phosphodiesterase GDPDL7
Exons: 10
Source: RefSeq, a predicted model, not a curated record